Molecule: RNA transcript, 1021 nt
Organism: Hylaeus anthracinus
Lineage: Eukaryota; Metazoa; Arthropoda; Insecta; Hymenoptera; Colletidae
Gene name: BRCA2-interacting transcriptional repressor EMSY
Exons: 2
Source: RefSeq, a predicted model, not a curated record
AUGAGGAGUUUUUUGGAUUUUUUAUUUUUUGUUUUUUAUUCAUUAAAUCCAUUGAGAUAUUGUAUUUUAUCAUUCUGUCUUCUUUUAUUGGCUGAUAUAUCACAGCAUAUAAUAAGAAUUUAUAAAACGUAUAUAGCUGGUAUAAAUGGUUAUCGUUUAUACUUUUAAUAAUUACGUAUGUAUUUUACGUUCACGUUAACAGAAACACAGAGGUAAAUAAGAUACCGUGUUUUUUUUCUUCUAUUUUUAGUAACUUACAGGCAGGACUAUGUUUCCCCUGGUCUAUCUAUAAUAAUGUCUCUAUAGUUAUAUUAAGCAUUUAUACAAUUUAUAUAUUGUAUAACAGUAGUAACAAUAAAAUAUUACAGGAGAAUAAUUGAAAGCUGAGUAAAUUGAAUAGAAAGAGGAUAUUCAAUAGGCGCGCGGAAUCAUGGACUUGUUCGCAUGCGUUGGUAGACAAAGACAGAUAAGGUACCGACACUGAACUAUUCUAAUUAAUACAGUUCAGUGGGUACUGCAGUUUUCUUUCCGAGAGGUGCCAGAUUAGCCAAUACAUGAAAAUAUCAGUGAACUUUACUGGUAGGAGUACCAACGUUUAUAACGAAUACCGAUUACAAUAAGAGUAAUUGUACGACAACUUCAUCAUCAACUCACCAUACUGUCAACGAAACGUCGAAAAUGUGGAAAAAGUGUACGAACAUUGGUAAAAUUAGAUCAUAUUUAUUAUAACGAUCGAAGCAUGGAACCAUGUGGUCGCUGAGACAUGAAACAAUGACCCGUGAUGAAUGCAGAAAAUAUUUGCGAUGUUUAGUCUCGAAAGAAUCGUACAUGUCGAAAAAUGUAACGCAGUUUUAUAAUAGGUAUUAAUAUCCUAAUGCACGCUAUUUGCGUCAUUGAAAAAUAGAUAAUGGAAACCUGAAGAGCUAUACUUGAUAAUCAUUACAAAUUUAUGGAUGUAUUAAUAUUUACCGAUGUAUAAAUAUGUAUUCAUUUGUUAUUAAAUAUAACUAAAAUACACAAA